GGAUGGAGGGAGUACAUGUAAUGAAUCCUAAGCUAAUCAACACUACUAUCCCUACUGAUUUUUGUAGUAGUAUCGAGUAGAGAUUAUUAUACCCUUGUAGCGUAAAUGCGAGUGCAUAAGGACAUGCAUGAGAUGACCUUCUGGGACUGGGGCAACGUAAUGAAUCAUGUUUAUUGGACUAUGAUUUUGUGUAUUUGUAGGUUUCAGCAUUUUCUUAAUCUUGAUUCAACCAUAUGUGAAAUCAAAGUCCAUAUUUCUAAUAAAUUAUUCUAACAUUUAUGCGAAAUGUUGAAAAAUAUAUCUAAAAUUGAACAUGUAUAUUUAAAAAUAUAAUGUUGAAGUAGUACAUUCUAAAUGUUGAUUAAAAAAAGUAAGAUAAAACAUGUAAAAUAUACACAUAUUAGAUCUCAAUUAAUUGCAAUUAUAUAAACAACAUGUUGGUUCAAACAGAAUUAAGAUUAGACUCACGAUUUGAGAGAGAAUGUAUUUUAAAUCUUAAAUUCAAACCAAUUAAUCACUUAUUCAUCCCCUCUACAAAUUAUGCCACAUGUCCUGCACAUGGUUGGUUGGCUUGUUCUCACUUGCUAUCCAUCUCCUAGAGCACUAAGCUUGGAGUACGAAAGAUACAUUGGCUUGAAUGAUUAUGUCUUGGUGCAGGCCAUCUUGUGCAGGCCUACAAAUUGGGCCCAAAUCCAUCUCCGUCAGUACGUUGGCUUGUUCCCUCACUUGCUAUCUUCCAGGCCUGACGGAGUUGGGCCGGCCUAGUUUGUACUGCAAGCAACAUGCCGUCGCGUGGCCUGCACCCGAAAAUGUUUC
RNAcentral lists this long non-coding RNA (816 nucleotides) under Setaria viridis. Its description in RNAcentral is "long non-coding RNA (SVIR_LNC007381)". Lineage: Eukaryota; Viridiplantae; Streptophyta; Magnoliopsida; Poales; Poaceae. The record is from RNAcentral.